Long non-coding RNA from Xenopus laevis (African clawed frog), 804 nucleotides. RefSeq lists it as uncharacterized. The record is from RefSeq and is a predicted model, not a curated record. The transcript is spliced from 4 exons. Lineage: Eukaryota; Metazoa; Chordata; Amphibia; Anura; Pipidae.
GGUUCCAUUACAGGAUUCGACUAAGAUGUAUAGCUUUAUAAUAGAGGUCAUCUAAAUGGCGUCUUAGAUCAUCUAUGUAUUUACUUUGAGCAUACAUUGUAUUCUGUCUUCUCUGAUGCUGGAGGUGACCACUUGCAGCAUGUCCUUGAUGUCUGUUUUAGAAGGCAGUUGUUUGAGCUGCCUGUUUGUCAUCAACCACAUGAGAAUUCCAGCUGAAAAAGUAUCAUAAUCAAAGGCAGCAUCUCCUGAAAUUCAAAACCUUAAAGAUUGAAAAGAAAAGCCAAGAAGAAAAUUCCAAGAAGGCAAGCACUAAAGAAGUGGACUUGAUAAUAAGCAGUAUUUAUACUAUAUUUAUGUUAUAUACAGUAAAUAUUGUAGAUAAACUCAGUUGUUUACAUACCACUGGCAGAAUUUGUAAGAUGAAAACAUGGGUUCCUGCACAGCACCAUUAUUAUGUGUUGGGUAUUGUUCAGGAGUAGUGAUGGGCAAAAUUGUCAUUUGAAACGCCUUAAAGUUAAUGGGCGUCAAAAUUAUUUUGACGCACUUCAAUUUAGGUGCCCACAACAAUUUUAAUACCUAUUUUGUCCAAAUGCAUUAAAGUCAAUGUGUGUCCGAAUAAGUUUGAAAUUUAUUCUCCGCGGCAAAAUUAAGAGAUUCACCAUGAAUUCAUGCCUGGCGAAUUUAUUCGCACAUCACUAUUCAGGAGAAGCAAAUUGCCAUCACAGAAUAGAUGCUAUAAUUACAGGUAUGGGAUAUGUUAUCCAAAAACCUCUUAUUCAGAAAGCUCCAAAUUACAGAAUGGCA